GACGAACGCUGGCGGCGUGCUUAACACAUGCAAGUCGAACGGAAAGGCCCUGCUUUUGUGGGGUGCUCGAGUGGCGAACGGGUGAGUAACACGUGAGUAACCUGCCCUUGACUUUGGGAUAACUUCAGGAAACUGGGGCUAAUACCGGAUAGGAGCUCCUGCUGCAUGGUGGGGGUUGGAAAGUUUCGGCGGUUGGGGAUGGACUCGCGGCUUAUCAGCUUGUUGGUGGGGUAGUGGCUUACCAAGGCUUUGACGGGUAGCCGGCCUGAGAGGGUGACCGGCCACAUUGGGACUGAGAUACGGCCCAGACUCCUACGGGAGGCAGCAGUGGGGAAUAUUGCACAAUGGGCGGAAGCCUGAUGCAGCAACGCCGCGUGCGGGAUGACGGCCUUCGGGUUGUAAACCGCUUUCGCCUGUGACGAAGCGUGAGUGACGGUAAUGGGUAAAGAAGCACCGGCUAACUAUGU
RNAcentral lists this ribosomal RNA (467 nucleotides) under uncultured bacterium. RNAcentral's name for it is "partial 16S ribosomal RNA". It matches the Rfam family "Bacterial small subunit ribosomal RNA", at positions 28 to 506 of the family's 1533-position model. The record is from RNAcentral.